RNAcentral lists this non-coding RNA (70 nucleotides) under unclassified sequences. Its description in RNAcentral is "L13-Bacteroidia ribosomal protein leader". It matches the Rfam family "L13-Bacteroidia ribosomal protein leader". The record is from RNAcentral.
AAGACUGUAAGAGUCUUAAAAUCUGUGUGUUAAUAGCAUUUUCAUUGGCCUGGAAUGCGGUUAGUGAAUC